AAUAAGGUGCCUGAUUAAAGGAUUAUUUUGAUAGAAUAAAUUAUGUAAGUUACUUACCCUUAUUA
RNAcentral lists this transfer RNA (65 nucleotides) under Oreodytes davisii. RNAcentral's name for it is "tRNA-Ile". Lineage: Eukaryota; Metazoa; Arthropoda; Insecta; Coleoptera; Dytiscidae. The record is from RNAcentral.